This 253-nucleotide ribosomal RNA is filed under the name uncultured bacterium. Its description in RNAcentral is "partial 16S ribosomal RNA". It matches the Rfam family "Bacterial small subunit ribosomal RNA", at positions 524 to 776 of the family's 1533-position model. The record is from RNAcentral.
UACGGAGGGUGCGAGCGUUGUUCGGAAUCACUGGGCGUAAAGGGCGUGUAGGCGGUCUGUUAAGUCUGAUGUGAAAGCCCGGGGCUCACCCCCGGAAGUGCAUUGGAUACUGGCGGACUCGAGUCCCGGAGAGGAGGGUGGAAUUCCUGGUGUAGCGGUGAAAUGCGUAGAUAUCAGGAGGAACACCGGUGGCGAAGGCGGGUCUCUGGGCCGUAACUGACGCUGAGGAGCGAAAGCGUGGGGAGCGAACAGG